RNAcentral lists this ribosomal RNA (275 nucleotides) under uncultured Staphylococcus sp. Its description in RNAcentral is "partial 16S ribosomal RNA". It matches the Rfam family "Bacterial small subunit ribosomal RNA", at positions 87 to 356 of the family's 1533-position model. Lineage: Bacteria; Bacillati; Bacillota; Bacilli; Caryophanales; Staphylococcaceae. The record is from RNAcentral.
UUACGUUAGCGGCGGACGGGUGAGUAACACGUGGGUAACCUACCUAUAAGACUGGGAUAACUUCGGGAAACCGGAGCUAAUACCGGAUAAUAUUUCGAACCGCAUGGUUCGAUAGUGAAAGAUGGUUUUGCUAUCACUUAUAGAUGGACCCGCGCCGUAUUAGCUAGUUGGUAAGGUAACGGCUUACCAAGGCGACGAUACGUAGCCGACCUGAGAGGGUGAUCGGCCACACUGGAACUGAGACACGGUCCAGACUCCUACGGGAGGCAGCAGUG